AGGAAAGGAUUUAUGUGGCUUACACUUCACCAUCACUGUUCAUCAUGGAAGAGAGCCAGGGCUCCCUCAAACAGGGCAGGGGCUGGAGGCAGGAGCUGAUGCACAGGCCAUCGAGGAGUGCUCCUUACAUAUUGCUCCUCAUGGCUUGUUCAGUCUGCUUUCUUGUAGAAUCCAGGACCCUAAGAUUAGGGAUGGCACUACUCACAACUAGCAGGACCCUCCUCUAUCUAAAACUAAUUAAGAAAACCCUCCAUAGGCUUUCCUAUACCCCAGUCUUAAGGAGGUAUUUUCUCAAUUGACUUUGUUGCCUCUAAAUGAUUUUAGCUUGGGUCAAGUUGACAUAAAACCGCCCACCACACACACACAAAAAGCUGUACUUUCUCUUCUGGCCCCCGGUGGUGUGGCUAUCAAAUUCAUCCCAAUAAGACUGAUAUUCAGAUUUGGGAACAGUAGUGGAGACCCCAGCAGGUCUGUUCUACAGUGGGUACUCUCAUGGAGAGAAGUUCUUCCCAUUUCUA
RNAcentral lists this long non-coding RNA (518 nucleotides) under Rattus norvegicus (Norway rat). Its description in RNAcentral is "long non-coding RNA NONRATT026247". Lineage: Eukaryota; Metazoa; Chordata; Mammalia; Rodentia; Muridae. The record is from RNAcentral.